RNAcentral lists this ribosomal RNA (3689 nucleotides) under Triticum aestivum (bread wheat). RNAcentral's name for it is "partial small subunit ribosomal RNA". The record is from RNAcentral. Lineage: Eukaryota; Viridiplantae; Streptophyta; Magnoliopsida; Poales; Poaceae.
CCGUCGCGCCCGGUCGCUCCCUCAUGUCUUUUAUAGAGGGAACAGUCGAGAGGGAGUAGAGAAGGGCAGGGGGAGGAGAAGGGGUACGGCGGCGGUGAGGGAGGACCGCCGGAACAGAGGAGGUGGAGAGGAGGUGGGGGAGGAGGAAGGAACGGAGGUGUGGGCCGAUCGUACCGGGCUGGUGCGCUUAGUAGGAGCAGCAGUCCGGCUGCCUCUCCUCACCGCCUAGGUGGAGGAGAACCCGCAGAGCCGGUCUCUUCCUAAAAAAGUCGAUCCGGUCGCCUACCCCUUACUGCCGCAGGGUCGCCGAGGGCGGGACGCCGCGGGGAGAGUGCGGCGGGCAGAGGCGGAGGAGGGGACGCAGGAACGACGGUAGCCGCCGGAGACGCGUGGGAGCGGAAGCUGUAGGGGCACUAGGGAGAGAGAGGGGCCCUUCGACCGAACACCUCUGCUGCUAGUUCCGGAGCCACCCUUCACCAACAAGAGCAAUCUACACAAUGUGCUCUAGAUUGAAUUAUACCGUCUAACGAACUUCAACGUCUUAGUCGAUUAGAACCUUAAUGGACUCCUGGUUCCACCAGAAGACCCACAGAAAAACAUGCAUGUUCACUUAUAAAUAUAGGUCUCCUAGGUUACCGUGGUAAGUCUCACUGUAAUCAACGAACGACUUACAAUAAAAAUAGUAUACGUAAUAGGGCAACUUAAUAUCGUACAUCGAGGAGUGAUGGAAGCUUCAAGAACGUUAGGUAUGUAAAUGUUAAGAACCUUGUUUUUCUUAUAAACAUACUUUCGUAAGUGUCAUGAAGAACUCUGUGGGACUAAACGACGGCGCGCGGCGCAGACCUAGUCCACGUCCAUCGGCUGUAUCCUCUCGUCCCGCCGCACCAUAAACACCACCCGCACCUCGUUCCCUCCUACUCCCGCUACCCGUACUCCCUUCCUCGUCGUUCCAGCCUCAAGGUCUGUUUUUUUAACACUACCCCUCUGGUUCGCUUCAUAAGUACUACGAGACACACAACGUUCCUUAGACUAGUAGUUGUUGAGUUAACACAUACCACCACCGAGUCGUCUUUAUAGAACGAGUUAACAACAACCUCGACGUCGCCUAGUCGUAGGACUUCAACUCGUCAUACGUUAGUUCCGCAAACGACUACGAAAACUAGGAUAGGGUUUAGUAGUCGCCUAGCCGUAGGACUUCAACUCGUCAUGCGUUAGUCCCGCGAACGACUACGAAACCUACUUUACGGGGAUACUUGACUACGUACUUAUAUAAAAGAAAACGUUUAAGUCUCUUCCAUCCAGCACCAAAGUAAAAGAGAAAUGUACAUCCUGUCCCUUUGCUGCUAGUUCCGGAACCACCCUUCACCAACAAGAGCAAUCUACGCAAUGUGCUCUAGAUUGAAUUAUACCGUCUAACGAACUUCAACGUCUUAGUCGAUUAGAACCUUAAUGGACUCCUGGUUCCACCAGAAGACCCACAGAAAAACAUGCAUGUUCACUUAUAAAUAUAGGUCUCCUAGGUUACCGUGGUAAGUCUCACUGUAAUCAACGAACGACUUACAAUAAAAAUAGUAUACGUAAUAGGGCAACUUAAUAUCGUACAUCGAGGAGUGAUGGAAGCUUCAAGAACGUUAGGUAUGUAAAUGUUAAGAACCUUGUUUUUCUUAUAAACAUACUUUCGUAAGUGUCAUGAAGAACUCUGUGGGACUAAACGACGGCGCGCGGCACAGACCUAGCCCACGUCCAGCGGCGGUAUCCUCUCGUCCCGCCGCACCAGAAACGCCACCCGCACCUCGUCCCCUCCUACUCCCGCUACCCGUACUCCCUUCCUCGUCGCUCCAGCCUCAAGGUCCGCCACGAAUAGACACUACAACACUAUUACGGUUGGUAGAUAGUACGUGUCUGUUUUUUUAACACUACCCCUCUGGUUCGCUUCAUAAGUACUACGAGACACACAACGUUCCUUAGACUAGUAGUUGUUGAGUUAACACAUACCACCACCGAGCCGUCUUUAUAGAACGAGUUAACAACAACCUCGACGUCGCCUAGUCGUAGGACUUCAACUCGUCGUACGUUAGUUCCGCAAACGACUACGAAAACUAGGAUAGGGUUUAGUAGUCGCCUAGCCGUAGGACUUCAACUCGUCAUACGUUAGUCCCGCGGACGACUACGAAACCUAGGAUAAGGCGAUCGAAAUCGACUUUUAUCACCAAACGUCGGAUAACUAUGAGAGUGGCAACAUUUUAGGGUUUUACAGUUCUCCCAGUUAUAGUUUCCCAGUAUAAAUAGGUCGCCAGGAAGGACAGCUUUCGUUCUUUUACAGAACUUUCGAUCCCUCCCUAACGACCUCACCUUUGUCUCGUUCUUGGUCUUCGUCGAGUUCUAAAACGAUGAUGGAACGAUUAUCGAAACACUCCCUCGACUGUCAACUAAUCAGUAGAAGAGUACUCCCUCGACUGUUCUACAGCCUUUCCGCGUCGGACGAUGAGUUCGGGGAGAGGAAGCGAGGAACGUCUCGUCCUCUCCGUGCCCACGGUGGUGUGAGCUCUCUGUCUACUCCUGUACUUCGAAAGCACCUCUGCUGCUCCACCGGUGGCGACGUGGGGGUGCGGCACCUACGCUUCUAAGGGUAGAGGAGACGGGAGCUAUUGGUGAAGCCGCCGCGGCACUUGUCGUCGUUACCGGAGAAGUGCCGUCCGCGUCUGGCGUCCCAGCAGAAGGAGAGGCCGGACAAGGUGUGGUAGUCUAAGUCCGGGAGAGGGAGACGUAGAGACAUUUUUAUACACAUUCCCGAAAGUUUUAAAAGAAGAAGAUCCUUACUAACUCAAGUGAGAAGAAGUACUCGGCAACUGACAACCGGGACACCUUCUCAGGACAUGCAUCUCCCACCCGACGUUUAAUAGUUAAGAUAUUGAAAGUCUGGUACCGGGGGAAAAAAGUGAAAGUAAUAAGGAGGCCGAGUUCACUAUCGGUGUAAUACUUUCCUCGCUCCCAACUGUUGGGCUAGAUGUUGUCGCUGUUAGGUCAGUCGGCGUUAACUUUUUCAGUCCUAGGGUUGUUUCCUGGAAGAUCUGUGAUACUACGUCGUCGAACCGGAAGGUUUGCGUCACAUGAGUUGUGUCUUCCGUUCCUGCCAACCAGAACUGCGUUGGUAAGUGAUAGGUAGUCUCGUGGUUAACCUGUUGGCUGAAGGUUCCUUUAGUUAUAGGUAGAUGCACAUGCCAUUUGAGUUUCUUCGACUUCAAGCUGGCCGUUGACUUCGAGAGUUCAUCAGAUUCACUUCACUUUCUUGAAUGACGUAUUAUCUAUGUUUGAAGUGUCGUUCUAGUCGUGGGUUUCGGUUGUUAGACUUUGUAUAAAACAGUGUCUAUUCUAUACAACGACUAACAGAAUUACUAUAUUCAAAUGUUAGUCUUCGGCAAUAUGUCUUUUGUUUGUUCAUAAUAACCUCGGACCUACUACUGUAGCUUCCUUAAAGACGAAACUCGUUACGUCCGGUACUUCUUGUUGUUGAUAUUUCUGAACGGUGUUUCUUUAACAAGAUUUGUAGGUUGCUAUGUACACAGAUUGUAUCGAGAAAGAUAGAUGUACGGAACGAGUAUUAUAACAUUUACUAGCAAGCAUUCGAAUAAUCUUUUGUACAUAGUAGUCGUUGGUAGAUAGAUAGUAGUUAAGUAUGAAUAAAGGUU